AGGCAUGAGCCGUGGUGUCUGGCCCUAAUGUGAGUGAUCUUUAACACUGAGCACUUGAAAAAGAAAACCCCGAAGAAACCUAAUUCUUUGAUGUCUGGACGACAAGGAAGAAGAUAGAAAUGGCAACAGAUAAUAAACAGCGUAAAUGUUUAUCAGAAAGGGGCUGGUGGUCGGGACAAGUAGAAGGAUCGCUUGAGUCCAGGAGUGCAUCUCUACAAAAAAGUUAAAGGAUUUUUUAACAUUGGCCAGGCGUGGUGGCACACAUCUGUGAUCCCAGCUACUUGGGAGGCUGAGGCAGGAGGAUUGCUUGAAGCCCAGGAGGUUGAGGCUGCAGUGAGCUGUGAUCGAGCCACUGCACUCCAGCCUGGGUGACACAGCAAAAUCCGGUCUACAAAAAAAAAAUAAUAAUAUUUUACAUAACUAACCACUUCUAAAGAUUAAAAAAAACCCCUAUGAUUAAAAACCUCAGGUCCCUCAGGCAAUCAUACCAGAUAUCGAAACAAAGCAAUAACAUAAGGACUGCAGUAUUUAUUUUUAUAUUAUUUAUUUAUUCUUUGUUAGUUUGUUUUUGGGGUGUGGGUUUUGUUUUUUGAUUUUUUUAUUUUGUUCUACUCAGUUUUAUUCUUAUUGCUCAGGCUUGAGUGCAACGGCCUCUUCUCAGCUGACGCAACCUCCGCCUCUUGGGUUCGGGUGAUGAUGGUUCCACCUCAGCAGCCCUCCGCCUCUUGGGUUUGGGUGAUGAUGGUUCCACCUCAGCGGCCCUCCGCCUCUUGGGUUCGGGAGGUGGUUCCAUCUCAGCCACCCUCCACCUCUUGGGUUUGGGUGGUUUUUCUGCCUCAGCCUCCUGAGUAGCUAAGGGAGGUGUCUUGAGAUUAUCAUCUGCAGAGUGGCGCUGAGGGUGGAAGGGGAUGGAGCAGACACUCGGCAGGUGUCUUGAGAUUAUCAUCCACUGAGGGUGGAGCUGAGGGUGGAAGGGGAGUGAGCAGCCACUCGGGAGGUGUCUUGAGAUUAUCAUCCGCUGAGGGUGGAAGGGGAGUGAGCAGACACUCGGCAGGUGUCUUGAGGCUCAGGGAGUUAUGAGUUAUAGAAUGUUGAUCAGUUAUAGAAUGUUGUUGAGUUGGAGGAGGUGGCUGGUGGCCCAUCCUGUUUUUUAAAGUUUCAGCUGUGAGGUAGGGCCGGUAGGGCAAUCCUGAAGAGUGACGAUGCUCCGCUGCUGCCAUUCUGACCUGUAGGGCCAAAGGAGGGAAUGUUUUCACACAUAUUCAUUUGAUGGACAAAAUUACCGCCACCAACACAGUCUGCACCUUCUGUUGCUGGUGAUAGAUUUUUGCACCUUUCCAUCCUCCAGGUUUCAAAAUAGCAGUAUCAGUGUCAUAAUAUCACCCUUCCACUGAGUACUGCCGACAGCUGGGGGGUAAAGAAAAGUCAUUGGGACACACUGUUGUCUCCACAUGCCACUGUGUCUGUCUGCAAAUGUAGGCAGGCUGGGGUCCUGCCCCAGGGAAGACAGAGUCAUAACAGAGUAAUAAAGAAGCAUGUUUGAGACACAGGAGUGUCUAUGUCUAUCCUCAUUCCUCCCUCACAGCCAUCACCAGAGCAUGUUUCUUGCACCAGGUCAACAGACAGUAAGAGAGGUAUGAAAAGCCCAUUGUCCACACAUGUUGCAGGUUCUUAUUGGANAAUGUUUCCAGGUCCU
This 1696-nucleotide long non-coding RNA is filed under the name Pan paniscus (pygmy chimpanzee). RNAcentral's name for it is "lncRNA (ENSPPAG00000045054.1)". The record is from RNAcentral. Lineage: Eukaryota; Metazoa; Chordata; Mammalia; Primates; Hominidae.